This 308-nucleotide ribosomal RNA is filed under the name uncultured bacterium. RNAcentral's name for it is "bacterial SSU rRNA". It matches the Rfam family "Bacterial small subunit ribosomal RNA", at positions 28 to 334 of the family's 1533-position model. The record is from RNAcentral.
GACGAACGCUGGCGGCAUGCCUAAUACAUGCAAGUCGAGCGGAAACGAUGAUAGCUUGCUAUCAGGCGUCGAGCGGCGGACGGGUGAGUAAUACUUAGGAAUCUACCUAGUAGUGGGGGAUAGCUCGGGGAAACUCGAAUUAAUACCGCAUACGACCUACGGGAGAAAGGGGGCAACUUGUUGCUCUCGCUAUUAGAUGAGCCUAAGUCGGAUUAGCUAGAUGGUGGGGUAAAGGCCUACCAUGGCGACGGUCUGUAGCUGGUCUGAGAGGAUGAUCAGCCACACCGGGACUGAGACACGGGCCCCGG